GCCCGUAUAUUCGGUGACUCGUUUGUCAAUCAGAUUCUCAUUAUUUUAAUUUCAAUCCAACCAUUAUUAGGACUUAAGGGUAUCAGGCCGCUCCUAUUGUCCCAAAGCACCCAUAAGAAAUCUGUACGAGAGAUGCAGGCCUACAGCAAGUGUUUGUUCAUCUUAAGAUGAGAUUCUUUUUCUGAAAAUUUAUUUGGAACCAACUCCC
RNAcentral lists this long non-coding RNA (208 nucleotides) under Elaeis guineensis (African oil palm). Its description in RNAcentral is "long non-coding RNA (EGUI_LNC012029)". The record is from RNAcentral. Lineage: Eukaryota; Viridiplantae; Streptophyta; Magnoliopsida; Arecales; Arecaceae.